GCGCAAGUGGCGGAAUUGGUAGACGCGCUAGGUUCAGGUCCUAGUAUCAGCAAUGAUGUGGAGGUUCAAGUCCUCUCUUGCGUA
This 84-nucleotide transfer RNA is filed under the name Candidatus Cloacimonadota bacterium. RNAcentral's name for it is "Candidatus Cloacimonetes bacterium (wastewater metagenome) tRNA-Leu". It matches the Rfam family "tRNA". Rfam says of the family: Transfer RNA (tRNA) molecules are approximately 80 nucleotides in length. Their secondary structure includes four short double-helical elements and three loops (D, anti-codon, and T loops). Lineage: Bacteria; Pseudomonadati; Candidatus Cloacimonadota. The record is from RNAcentral.